GAAUAUUGGACAAUGGGCGAAAGCCUGAUCCAGCAAUGCCGCGUGAGUGAUGAAGGCCCUAGGGUUGUAAAGCUCUUUUACCCGGGAUGAUGAUGACAGUACCGGGAGAAUAAGCCCCGGCUAACUCCGUGCCAGCAGCCGCGGUAAUACGGAGGGGGCUAGCGUUGUUCGGAAUUACUGGGCGUAAAGCGCACGUAGGCGGAUAUUUAAGUCAGGGGUGAAAUCCCGCAGCUCAACUGCGGAACUGCCUUUGAUACUGGAUAUCUUGAGUAUGGAAGAGGUGAGUGGAAUUCCGAGUGUAGAGGUGAAAUUCGUAGAUAUUCGGAGGAACACCAGUGGCGAAGGCGGCUCACUGGUCCAUAACUGACGCUGAGGUGCGAAAGCGUGGGGAGCAAACAGG
RNAcentral lists this ribosomal RNA (400 nucleotides) under uncultured bacterium. RNAcentral's name for it is "bacterial SSU rRNA". It matches the Rfam family "Bacterial small subunit ribosomal RNA", at positions 359 to 776 of the family's 1533-position model. The record is from RNAcentral.